Molecule: ribosomal RNA, 433 nt
Filed under: uncultured bacterium
Lineage: Bacteria
Description: partial 16S ribosomal RNA
Rfam family: Bacterial small subunit ribosomal RNA
Source: RNAcentral
AACGAACGCUGGCGGCAUGCCUAACACAUGCAAGUCGAACGAGACCUUCGGGUCUAGUGGCGCACGGGUGCGUAACGCGUGGGAACCUGCCCUUAGGUUCGGAAUAACUCCCCGAAGGGGGUGCUAAUACCGGAUAAUGUCUUCGGACCAAAGAUUUAUCGCCUUUGGAUGGGCCCGCGUUGGAUUAGCUAGUUGGUAGGGUAAAAGCCUACCAAGGCGACGAUCCAUAGCUGGUCUGAGAGGAUGAUCAGCCACACUGGGACUGAGACACGGCCCAGACUCCUACGGGAGGCAGCAGUGGGGAAUAUUGGGCAAUGGGCGAAAGCCUGAUCCAGCAAUGCCGCGUGAGUGAUGAAGGCCUUAGGGUUGUAAAGCUCUUUUACCCGGGAUGAUAAUGACAGUACCGGGAGAAUAAGCUCCGGCUAACUCCGUG